RNAcentral lists this ribosomal RNA (951 nucleotides) under uncultured bacterium. RNAcentral's name for it is "bacterial SSU rRNA". It matches the Rfam family "Bacterial small subunit ribosomal RNA", at positions 8 to 975 of the family's 1533-position model. The record is from RNAcentral.
AGAGUUUGAUCAUGGCUCAGAUUGAACGCUGGCGGCAUGCCUUACACAUGCAAGUCGAACGGUAACGCGGGGCAACCUGGCGACGAGUGGCGAACGGGUGAGUAAUGCAUCGGAACGUGCCCAGUAGUGGGGGAUAGCCCGGCGAAAGCCGGAUUAAUACCGCAUACGACCUACGGGUGAAAGGGGGGGAUCGCAAGACCUCUCGCUAUUGGAGCGGCCGAUGUCAGAUUAGGUAGUUGGUGGGGUAAAAGCUCACCAAGCCGACGAUCUGUAGCUGGUCUGAGAGGACGACCAGCCACACUGGGACUGAGACACGGCCCAGACUCCUACGGGAGGCAGCAGUAGGGAAUAUUGCGCAAUGGAGGAAACUCUGACGCAGCGACGCCGCGUGCGGGAUGAAGGCCUUCGGGUUGUAAACCGCUUUCAGUAGGGAAGAAGCGAAAGUGACGGUACCUACAAAAGAAGCACCGGCUAACUAUGUGCCAGCAGCCGCGGUAAUACAUAGGGUGCAAGCGUUGUCCGGAAUUAUUGGGCGUAAAGAGCUCGUAGGUCGUUUGUUACGUCGGAUGUGAAAAUCUGAGGCUCAACCUCAGACCUGCAUUCGAUACGGGCAAACUAGAGUUUGGUAGGGGAGACUGGAAUUCCUGGUGUAGCGGUGGAAUGCGCAGAUAUCAGGAGGAACACCAACGGCGAAGGCAGGUCUCUGGGCCAACACUGACACUGAGGAGCGAAAGCGCGGGGAGCGAACAGGAUUAGAUACCCUGGUAGUCCGCGCCGUAAACGGUGGGUACUAGUUGUGGGAACCUUCCACGGUUUCUGCGACGACGCUAACGCAUUAAGUACCCCGCCUGGGGAGUACGAUCGCAAGAUUAAAACUCAAAGGAAUUGACGGGGCCCCGCACAAGCAGCGGAGCAUGCGGCUCAAUUCGAUGCAACGCGAAGAACCUUACC